RNAcentral lists this non-coding RNA (147 nucleotides) under Pan paniscus (pygmy chimpanzee). The record is from Rfam by way of RNAcentral. Lineage: Eukaryota; Metazoa; Chordata; Mammalia; Primates; Hominidae. RNAcentral also lists the same sequence under 1 other name.
GCUGGGCAUGGUGGUGCAUGCCUGUAAUCCAGCUACUUGGGAGGCUGAGGCAGGAGAAUCACUUGAACCCGGGAGGCGGAGGUUGCAGUGAGCCAUGAUCAAGCCACUGCCCUCCAGCCUGGGUGACAGAGUGAGACUCAUUCUCAA